GUUCGCCUACGGGGGGCAGCAGUGGGGGAUAUUGCACAAUGGGGGAAACCCUGAUGCAGCGACGCCGCGUGAGGGAUGAAGUAUUUCGGUAUGUAAAGCUCUAUCAGCAGGGAAGAAAAUGACGGUACCUGACUAAGAAGCCCCGGCUAACUACGUGCCAGCAGCCGCGGUAAUACGUAGGGGGCAAGUGUUAUCCGGAUUUACUGGGUGUAAAGGGAGCGUAGACGGCAGUGCAAGUCUGAAGGGAAAGGCAAGGGCCC
RNAcentral lists this ribosomal RNA (260 nucleotides) under uncultured bacterium. Its description in RNAcentral is "partial 16S ribosomal RNA". It matches the Rfam family "Bacterial small subunit ribosomal RNA", at positions 333 to 610 of the family's 1533-position model. The record is from RNAcentral.